AGAGUUUGAUCCUGGCUCAGGAUGAACGCUGGCGGCGUGCUUAACACAUGCAAGUCGAACGAAGCACCUUGAUUUGAUUCUUCGGAUGAAGAUCCUGGUGACUGAGUGGCGGACGGGUGAGUAACGCGUGGGUAACCUGCCUCAUACAGGGGGAUAACAGUUAGAAAUGACUGCUAAUACCGCAUAAGACCACAGCACCGCAUGGUGCAGGGGUAAAAACUCCGGUGGUAUGAGAUGGACCCGCGUCUGAUUAGGUAGUUGGUGGGGUAACGGCCUACCAAGCCGACGAUCAGUAGCCGACCUGAGAGGGUGACCGGCCACAUUGGGACUGAGACACGGCCCAAACUCCUACGGGAGGCAGCAGUGGGGAAUAUUGCACAAUGGGGGAAACCCUGAUGCAGCGACGCCGCGUGAGCGAUGAAGUAUUUCGGUAUGUAAAGCUCUAUCAGCAGGGAAGAAAAUGACGGUACCUGACUAAGAAGCACCGGCUAAAUACGUGCCAGCAGCCGCGGUAAUACGUAUGGUGCAAGCGUUAUCCGGAUUUACUGGGUGUAAAGGGAGCGUAGACGGAGUGGCAAGUCUGAUGUGAAAACCCGGGGCUCAACCCCGGUACUGCAUUGGAAACUGUCGUACUAGAGUGUCGGAGGGGUAAGCGGAAUUCCUAGUGUAGCGGUGAAAUGCGUAGAUAUUAGGAGGAACACCAGUGGCGAAGGCGGCUUACUGGACGAUAACUGACGCUGAGGCUCGAAAGCGUGGGGAGCAAACAGGAUUAGAUACCCUGGUAGUCCACGCCGUAAACGAU
This 802-nucleotide ribosomal RNA is filed under the name uncultured bacterium. RNAcentral describes it as "bacterial SSU rRNA". It matches the Rfam family "Bacterial small subunit ribosomal RNA", at positions 8 to 810 of the family's 1533-position model. The record is from RNAcentral.